UUCUCUGUGCUCUCAAGCUCUCCCUCUCUUUGCUCUCAAACUAUCCCUCUCAGUAUUAUCUCACUCUCACUCUCACUCUCGCUCUUGGUUCUCUCACUCUCACUCUCCUUCUCGGGUCCCUUAGUUCUCUCACUCUCACUCUCCUUCUAAUCGGCCUCCGCUCUCAAACCUAGCAACACUUUCCCUCUCAUCGGCCCCCACUCUCAAACCUAGCAACAUUCUCACUCUGUAAUUAUGGCUCCCUGAUUGAUCACGUGCCAUUGGUCUGCUUCAUCUUUGGCUCAGAGUGAGCAGUCGACCCCAAUGGUACUGUGGUGGCCAGUGGUAUCCAAGCACUGACUGCAGAGUUGAUAGCUGACACCAGUUCGACCACACCAUUACCCCUUUCUCCCUGAUCUACUUAGCGACUCCACAUCACCCGUCACCACCAACCACCUCCAGCACCGUUGGCUAUCACUUCAUCCCCACUCUGGUAGCGUAGAGGCUGAAUCAGCCCUCGUGGAUGGAGAGGAGACGAGAGGAUAACUCCCCACCGGCCCAAGGAAUAAAAAGACUCGGGGCAUUUUGUCAGGUCUGAAGACAAACCAGAUCACUCGAACUACCUAGGCUCCGAUCCAGAUUGUAAGCCUCCCCAACCACCGUCGAGCCUGUGCUAAUGUCAACAGUUUGUUGACUCACGACUGCGAGGCCAUCAUCCGUAACAAAUGCCCCAUGGAUGCUGAUUCAUAGAUUUCAUAUAGGCAGGAGGUUUGCCAGGAGAUGUACUGCCCAGCUUUCAUCCAACUUUUCAUGGAACGAGCUUGACAGAGGUUGUAUGGAGUACAUUGACUGGAUCUGGAAGUUGCGGUUCAAGGAGUGGAAGUAUGAGCUCCACAAGUACUACAAGUAUUGUCCGACACUUGAGGCAGUGCAGGGGACCCUCCCAAGGAGUUUCUGGAGAGGGUGGGCGAGUGGGACUAAGUUUGGCACUCAUUUUUGAGAGUGAAAAGUAUAAGGUAAUAAAUAUUUAUAUUUAUAUUUUUAAUUAUUAUUUUAUAAUUAUUUUUUCAACUUCAUCAAAGAUGUGUGUUAUUUAGGAUUUUGGGGUAUCCCAUGCACCGCAAAAAGGAAAAGAACGAACAAACAUGUAAUAGAAGUGAGAUAAUAAACCUUGAAAUUUUUUUAUUAUAAAGAGAAUAGGGGUUUUGACAA
Long non-coding RNA from Pyrus x bretschneideri (Chinese white pear), 1191 nucleotides. RefSeq lists it as uncharacterized. The record is from RefSeq and is a predicted model, not a curated record. The transcript has 3 exons. NCBI's taxonomy places the organism in Eukaryota, Viridiplantae, Streptophyta, Magnoliopsida, Rosales, Rosaceae.